RNAcentral lists this ribosomal RNA (438 nucleotides) under uncultured bacterium. RNAcentral's name for it is "bacterial SSU rRNA". It matches the Rfam family "Bacterial small subunit ribosomal RNA", at positions 954 to 1392 of the family's 1533-position model. The record is from RNAcentral.
GCAUAACGCGAAGAACCUUACCCACCUUUGACAUGUACGGAAGUUACCAGAGAUGGUUUCGUGCUCGAAAGAGAACCGUAACACAGGUGCUGCAUGGCUGUCGUCAGCUCGUGUCGUGAGAUGUUGGGUUAAGUCCCGCAACGAGCGCAACCCUUGCCAUUAGUUGCUACAUUCAGUUGGGCACUCUAAUGGGACUGCCGGUGACAAACCGGAGGAAGGUGGGGAUGACGUCAAGUCCUCAUGGCCCUUAUAGGUGGGGCUACACACGUCAUACAAUGGCUGGUACAGAGGGUUGCCAACCCGCGAGGGGGAGCCAAUCCCAUAAAGCCAGUCGUAGUCCGGAUCGCAGUCUGCAACUCGACUGCGUGAAGUCGGAAUCGCUAGUAAUCGUGAAUCAGAAUGUCACGGUGAAUACGUUCCCGGGUCUUGUACACACCG